This 443-nucleotide ribosomal RNA is filed under the name uncultured bacterium. RNAcentral's name for it is "partial 16S ribosomal RNA". It matches the Rfam family "Bacterial small subunit ribosomal RNA", at positions 338 to 795 of the family's 1533-position model. The record is from RNAcentral.
CCUACGGGAGGCAGUAGUGGGGAAUAUUGGGCAAUGGGCGCAAGCCUGACCCAGUAACGCCGCGUGAAGGAAGAAGGCUUUCGGGUUGUAAACUUCUUUUCUCAGGGACGAAGAAAGUGACGGUACCUGAGGAAUAAGCCACGGCUAACUACGUGCCAGCAGCCGCGGUAAUACGUAGGUGGCAAGCGUUAUCCGGAUUUAUUGGGUGUAAAGGGCGUGUAGGCGGGAGCGCAAGUCAGAUGUGAAAACUCAGGGCUCAACCCUGAGCCUGCAUUUGAAACUGUGUUUCUUGAGUGCUGGGGAGGCAAGCGGAAUGCCGGGUGUAGCGGUGAAAUGCGUAGAUAUACGGAGGAACACCAGUGGCGAAGGCGGAUUGCUGGACAGUAACUGACGCUGAGGCGCGAAAGCGUGGGGAGCAAACAGGAUUAGAUACCCGGGUAGUC